RNAcentral lists this ribosomal RNA (573 nucleotides) under uncultured bacterium. Its description in RNAcentral is "bacterial SSU rRNA". It matches the Rfam family "Bacterial small subunit ribosomal RNA", at positions 42 to 609 of the family's 1533-position model. The record is from RNAcentral.
CCCCGCUUUACUUUGCAAGUCGAACCGCAGCACGGGGGCAACCCUGGUGGCGAGUGGCUUUCGGGUGAGUAAUAUAUCGGAACGUACCCGGAAAUGGGGGAUAACGCAGCGAAAGUUGCGCUAAUACCGCAUAUGCCCUGAGGGGGAAAGCGGGGGAUCCGCAAGGACCUCGCGUUUUCGGAGCGGCCGAUAUCGGAUUAGCUAGUAGGUGGGGUAAAGGCCUACCUAGGCGACGAUCCGUAGCUGGUCUGAGAGGACGACCAGCCACACUGGAACUGAGACACGGUCCAGACUCCUACGGGAGGCAGCAGUGGGGAAUUUUGGACAAUGGGCGAAAGCCUGAUCCAGCCAUGCCGCGUGAGUGAAGAAGGCCUUCGGGUUGUAAAGCUCUUUCAGCCGGAAAGAAAGCGCAUGGGUGAAUAACCUGUGUGGAUGACGGUACCGGAAGAAGAAGCACCGGCUAACUACGUGCCAGCAGCCGCGGUAAUACGUAGGGUGCGAGCGUUAAUCGGAAUUACUGGGCGUAAAGCGUGCGCAGGCGGUUUUGUAAGACAGAUGUGAAAUCCCCGGGCU